This 267-nucleotide ribosomal RNA is filed under the name uncultured bacterium. Its description in RNAcentral is "partial 16S ribosomal RNA". It matches the Rfam family "Bacterial small subunit ribosomal RNA", at positions 89 to 354 of the family's 1533-position model. The record is from RNAcentral.
UGGCGACCGGCGCACGGGUGAGUAACGCGUAUCCAACCUGCCCUUUACUAUGGGACAGCCCGUCGAAAGGCGGAUUAAUACCGUAUGUUGUCAUGUUGAUGCAUAUUUUCAUGACCAGAGGCUUCGGCCGGUAAAGGAUGGGGAUGCGUCUGAUUAGCUUGCCGGCGGGGUAACGGCCCACCGGGGCGACGAUCAGUAGGGGUUCUGAGAGGAAGGUCCCCCACAUUGGAACUGAGACACGGUCCAAACUCCUACGGAAGGCAGCAG